GGAUUGAUGGUGACUUCCAUAUAUACAUUCCUUGGAAAGCUGAACAAAAUCAGUGAGAAUUCUGUACCGUCAUCCUCAUUGCACUGAGGUCC
Small nucleolar RNA from Saimiri boliviensis boliviensis (Bolivian squirrel monkey), 92 nucleotides. Its record names the gene SNORD116. It matches the Rfam family "Small nucleolar RNA SNORD116". From Rfam's summary of the family: HBII-85 is a member of the C/D class of snoRNAs, which contain the C (UGAUGA) and D (CUGA) box motifs. HBII-85 is encoded in a tandemly repeated array with another C/D snoRNA, HBII-52, in the Prader-Willi syndrome (PWS) region of chromosome 15. The record is from Ensembl. Lineage: Eukaryota; Metazoa; Chordata; Mammalia; Primates; Cebidae.